AUACGGAGGAUCCAAGCGUUAUCCGGAUUUAUUGGGUUUAAAGGGUGCGCAGGCGGCCUUAUAAGUCAGUGGUGAAAUCUCCCGGCUCAACCGGGAAACUGCCAUUGAUACUGUAAGGCUAGAAUACAGACGAGGUAGGCGGAAUGUAGCAUGUAGCGGUGAAAUGCUUAGAUAUGCUACAGAACACCGAUCGCGAAGGCAGCUUACCAGACUGUAAUUGACGCUAAGGCACGAAAGCGUGGGGAGCGAACAGGAUUAGAUACCCUAGUAGUCC
RNAcentral lists this ribosomal RNA (274 nucleotides) under uncultured bacterium. RNAcentral's name for it is "partial 16S ribosomal RNA". It matches the Rfam family "Bacterial small subunit ribosomal RNA", at positions 523 to 796 of the family's 1533-position model. The record is from RNAcentral.